AGAGUUUGAUCAUGGCUCAGAUUGAACGCUGGCGGCAGGCCUAACACAUGCAAGUCGAGCGGAAACGAUUCCUUCGGGGAGGCGUCGAGCGGCGGACGGGUGAGUAAUGCAUAGGAAUCUACCCAACUGCGGGGGAUAACCCGGGGAAACUCGGGCUAAUACCGCAUAAUCUCUACGGAGCAAAGCGGGGGCUCUUCGGACCUCGCGCUGAUGGAUGAGCCUAUGUCUGAUUAGUUUGUUGGUGGGGUAACGGCCUACCAAGACGACGAUCAGUAGCUGGUCUGAGAGGAUGAUCAGCCACACCGGGACUGAGACACGGCCCGGACUCCUACGGGAGGCAGCAGUGGGGAAUAUUGGACAAUGGGCGGAAGCCUGAUCCAGCCAUGCCGCGUGUGUGAAGAAGGCCCUAGGGUUGUAAAGCACUUUAAGCAGGAAAGAAAAGCGCCGGGUUAAUAACCCGAGCGUAUUGACGGUACCUGCAGAAUAAGCACCGGCUAACUUCGUGCCAGCAGCCGCGGUAAUACGAAGGGUGCAAGCGUUAAUCGGAAUUACUGGGCGUAAAGCGAGUGUAGGCGGUUGCGUGUGUCGGAUGUGAAAGCCCUGGGCUCAACCUGGGAAUUGCAUUCGAAACUGCGUAACUAGAAUAUGGUAGAGGAAGACGGAAUUCCACGUGUAGCGGUGAAAUGCGUAGAUAUGUGGAGGAACACCAAUGGCGAAGGCAGUCUUCUGGGCCAAUAUUGACGCUGAGGCUCGAAAGCGUGGGUAGCAAACAGGAUUAGAUACCCUGGUAGUCCACGCCGUAAACGAUGAGAACUAGACGUUGGUUGACAUAGUCGGCCAGUGUCGCAGC
RNAcentral lists this ribosomal RNA (850 nucleotides) under uncultured bacterium. RNAcentral's name for it is "bacterial SSU rRNA". It matches the Rfam family "Bacterial small subunit ribosomal RNA", at positions 8 to 852 of the family's 1533-position model. The record is from RNAcentral.